This 484-nucleotide ribosomal RNA is filed under the name uncultured bacterium. RNAcentral's name for it is "partial 16S ribosomal RNA". It matches the Rfam family "Bacterial small subunit ribosomal RNA", at positions 30 to 507 of the family's 1533-position model. The record is from RNAcentral.
AUUGAACGCUGGCGGCAGGCCUAACACAUGCAAGUCGAGCGGAUGAAGGGGGCUUGCUCCUGGAUUCAGCGGCGGACGGGUGAGUAAUGCCUAGGAAUCUGCCUGGUAGUGGGGGAUAACGUCCGGAAACGGGCGCUAAUACCGCAUACGUCCUGAGGGAGAAAGUGGGGGAUCUUCGGACCUCACGCUAUCAGAUGAGCCUAGGUCGGAUUAGCUAGUUGGUGGGGUAAAGGCCUACCAAGGCGACGAUCCGUAACUGGUCUGAGAGGAUGAUCAGUCACACUGGAACUGAGACACGGUCCAGACUCCUACGGGAGGCAGCAGUGGGGAAUCUUGGACAAUGGGCGAAAGCCUGAUCCAGCCAUGCCGCGUGUGUGAAGAAGGUCUUCGGAUUGUAAAGCACUUUAAGUUGGGAGGAAGGGAAGUAAGUUAAUACCUUGCUGUUUUGACGUUACCAACAGAAUAAGCACCGGCUAACUUCGUG